UGAUUUGUGUCAAAAUGACAUUCCAAUGUGGCUGACAAGCACGGGACCCAGAGCUAUUCGAGCGCCAUAUUGGAACGAUGUGGCUAUAUAAGACCUGUAGCUUAAGGUCUGAAGGCAGUCUACGCUGAAAUUUUGGAAGAAAUAGUGCAAGUGUUAUAGUGUUUCGUGGUGGUUAGAAAAAGCUAAGUAUAUUAACUAUUUGGUUACUUUAAUAUUAGAAUUUUGAGGUUUUAUCCACAUUGUGUAAAUUGGUUAUUGUUGGUUAAAAUGAUUUUCUCUGGAUUUCCAUCGGAAAUAAUUGUGUGAUUAAAAUGAAUUUCAAAUAACGUAAUUUUGCUAGUUCUGUAAAACUAAUAAGUUUGUCCCGCCAUUUUUAUUAUUGGUGGAAUAAGAUUACAAAGGCGGUAGUAAUGAACUUUGGUUAAUAAUGUUAAAAUAAAUACAGUUACAUAACCUAAAAUAAAAACCACGUGUUAAUAAUUUAUUAACUUUGUUGAUUAUUUGAUUAUAUCAUAAGAGAUGGAGUCAGUUAACCUAAAAUAAAACCACGUGUUGAUAAUUUAUUUGCUUUGUUGAUUAUUUGAUUAUAUCAUAAGAGAUGAAAUUACCUAACCUAAAUUAGCACACGUGGUGAUAGUGUACUUGCUUUGUUGAAUGUUCUGAUUAUAUUAGUGUUAUUAUAUGAAUUGCAUUUACCUGUUGAAAUGAGAAUUUUGAAUAGAUGAAUUUAAUGAAGUGGAACAUAAAGGAAAAUAUGGGAGAAAUAUAUAAUUAAUUACUGGU
Molecule: long non-coding RNA, 783 nt
Organism: Maniola jurtina (meadow brown)
Lineage: Eukaryota; Metazoa; Arthropoda; Insecta; Lepidoptera; Nymphalidae
Exons: 2
Source: RefSeq, a predicted model, not a curated record